GAACAAGAGUUAAACGAACCUUACGAACAACCAUAAGGUUGAUCAUUAACCAUCUCAAGCUAAGGUAGAGAAACUCACCUCAAGUGAAGAAAUCCUCUCUCAAGCUCCAAAUGGGAGUUAGAGUUCUUCAAAUCCAACCUAAAUAAAGGUUUUAAACCCAUCAAUUAGGUUUCAAAGCAGUCAAAUCGAAAAUCCCCAAAAUAAACCCUAAAUCCCAAAAUCUAGGGUUUCUACCAACAAAAGCACCAAAGCUAGAAUCUAGAGGAAGGAAAUCAUCAACUAACCUCUAGGAUGCUCCAAACCAAGCUCAAAAUCCUCUAGGGUUGAAGAUUGAUCCACUACCAAGCUCCAACCACAAGCUCUAAGCCUCCAAAGGUGAGAAAUGAGGGAGAGGAAGAUGCUCCAAGGCCUCCAAGCUUGCUCUCCUUCAACUCCUUCUUCUUCUUCUCCUUCUUCUUCUCUUUCUAGAGAGUGUAGAGAGAGAGUGAGGGAGAGAAAUGAGGGAAAGAGAUAAGGGAAAUGGCCUAAAAGCCCUCUAUUGCAACAAUAUCCACCUAGGCCCUCCAACAAAGCAACCUGUGCACUGCCCGGGUCUGGGCAGUUUUCGGACUGAGGGACCGGUCUCCCCGACCUGGGACCGGUCUCUCAGCCUGCCCCGAAAAUCCAACGUUCGGGAACCGGUCUCUCCCUGCAUGGGACCGGUCACUCCCCGCGUGGUCGCGCUUGGGGACCGGUCUCAUCCGCCAGGGACCGGUUGCCUCGCAGACUACCGCAACACUGUUCCGAGGGGACCGGUCUCUCCUAUCAGGGACCGGUCCCCGAGAGUGAAAACUUUCAGGACACUGCCAAAACUCCAAAAAUCAAACUUUUAGGUCGGAAUACCAUCUACGACCUUUCACCAGGUGUGGAAAAGUUCAGAAUCCAUAUCAAACACUCGAACCUCGCAAUUUGCACAGGUCCAGUGUGUUACAUUCUGUAAUAUAUGGCAACUUGGAGUUGCGAUGUCAACUUUGAUUUAGGGGAUCAAAGUGAGGAUGGAGCUAGUUGGAUAUCAUCCCCGAGUGAUUUGUGAUGCGUGUGAAUGAAUUCUGGAGAUAAAUAAGUGUUUCGGCGCAAAUUGGCCGCGAAACGAAAUAUAAAGAGAAUUUUCGGAUUUCCGACGCUAACUUUGAUUAAAAGAAUUAAGUGAGCAAAAUAACAUAAAAUGGUGUGAGAUACCAUUUGAUUGGACUUAAGGGUGUAAAGUAUAUGUCUGGAAUGACUCGUGUUGAAAUCGGAGCGAAAAGAAAAGAUUUAAAAUUUUCUGUAAAGAACGGGACUGAGAAAUUAGCAGAAAAAUGCACAGUGUCAGAAAAUUAUAAAAACUGGAGGAUAUGUCAGGAAUAUUUUUAUGAGGCUAGAUUUAAAGUUUCACAUUAUUCUGACACCCGUAGAGAGAGAAAUAGAGUCCGAAAGCUAUCUGAUAAAGAUUGCAGUUCGGCACAGUUCGCGGUGACCAAAUGGGGUUGGAACUGAAAUGUUAAAAUUUUUUUGGACUUAUUAAGUAAAACCGAAUAUGCCUGUCAAAUUUGAGCGCAAACGGACAUUUGGAAGGGCCUGCGAAAGGUAUCUGAUCCGUGUCGCUAAGUGGUAUUAAGUCGAGGGGCAUUAUGGUCAUUAGCACAUGUUAGUGGAAUUCCACUAACCUACCAUAGCCUUCUCCAUCCUUAUCCCCCCCUCGUUCCAUUCGUAUGAGAGAGAGAGGGAAAGGAAGAGCACCAGAGAGAGAAGGAGAAAAGAAGAGAAAAGAGAAGAAGAAGAAGAAGAAAAAGAAGAAGAAGAAGAAAAGAGGUAGUGUCACGCCCGGGUACCAGCGGGAGCAUAUCCGGCACGUGCACAGACCCGCCAUACACCUGCAGUAUAUAAGGCGUCUACGAAGAAAGCAAAUCGAUAGGAAGUAAAACAAAGAAAAUCCUAUCCUGAUAUCAGAGCAAUGUACAAGUCGAUAUACUAUCAGUAAAAGAACAGAGAGUAUACAAUCCAAAAUCUCAACAAAAGGAGAAGAAGUAAGAACUAUAACAUCUGGAUCAUCAACUCAUAUACAACACAGGGUACACAAAAAUAUCUGUACACAGGUAGUCCCUCUAUACAAUGGACAUCACCCUCGGCCAUAGCCCGAGUAGCAAGGUGAUCGACUAACACGCUCCUAGCAAGGUCUAGCUAGACGCGACUCCCUUGCCACGAUCCCUAGCCUCUCCUGCAGAUGGCUCUGUAAAAACAACCACCAAAAAGGGCGUGAGAACUAUUAACAAUAGUUCCCAGUGGGUAAGCCGCCAGCCUCGGCGAAUUACACCACUAGGCUCAUGAUGUACUGAAUGAAAGCGAAAACAGUAAUUGCAUGAUAUAGAAUUACGCAAUGCUAACAGGUAAUGAGCAUGUAAGCAACAUGUAAUCAUGACUUCAACAAUAAUGAAUCAAUUGAAUAAUAGAAGCAUAGCAACUAUGAUAAGCAUGAACAUAAGCCUAAAUGUGUAAGUAACUACUGUACACUGUAACCAGUAAUCAUUCAUUACUGUCCAAAUUUCUUAGCACUUUCCUUUCAUUCACAGGGACCUACCCAAGGUAGUCCAGCUUGCGCCGCGCCUAAUGGCCCCGUGGUAGUAUACACUCCCCACGGCAAUCCAUUUCGGCACCCAAUCCCGCACGGGCGAGCAACUGUCGCGUAGGCCAACUCCGGAGUGCCGGCUUGUAGGGAGCUACCCUCACAAGCGUGUGCGAAUGAGCACGAUGGCAAGCAAGCAAAGUCCAUUGUCCACAUGUCACAAUUUUCAUAUUUUCAUUGCAAAGUUCAUACCCUCGAUCCUCUGAUCGGAAUGUCAUUACACAAAUAAUAACAAAAGCUAGUAUCCACUAGAUUGUAAACAUAUGAGGAUAAAGCUAAAUCACAUAGCAUUGUAAUCUUUCCACUAGUAUGGCACUAUCAACAUAGUCAUGAGCAUGUCAUAGUUCUCUACAUUAGAGUCAAGAGAAUGUCAUUGUUCUCUACUUUAAAGUGCAUCCUACACUUGUUCAUAAGUCAAUCAACUGUAUUGAAUACAAAUAUAAAUACUUUCAUGUAUAAGUGUUCUCUACUUUAUAGAGACUUCAUUCGAAUAUGCUCAACAUUAUGCUGACGAAUGUCAAGCCCUUUCUCAAUCACAUAAGCACACAAUAAGACCAUUUCUAUAAUACAUAUAGAACAUAGGGGAGUUUCACUUGCUCUGGUUAGGUCCGACCCACCUAGUACUAGGCUCCAACUAUUCACAAGAAGUCCCACAAUCAGCUCAACGAAGCCUCAAUGCUGCUGAAAAAUAAACGUCAAGAUUGGAUUAAAUCUACGGCCGAAAUGUCCGAUUUCGGCUCAAUUCACAUCUUGGAUCAAGUAGUAACAUAAAUCGCUGUUUUGGUUCACUUUAGUACCUCCAAUUAAGUCUCUAAAGGCUUCCCAAAGCCAACCAAGGAUGACCCAAAGGUCGGUCGAACUCCCGCUGCGAUCAACACCAACACGACAUCAAAAUCAUCAUAUAUUAACAAAUAUAGUCGGAAUCUUGCGAAUUCAGUUUUCUAACUGAAAUCCCUGCUUACCUCAGGUUAGAAUACCUUCCAAACCAGCUUCUAAAAGUACAAGUUUAGCUCAACAAGACUCGAAGACCUGCUGCGAAGAGAAAAUUCCAAAUUGCAUCAAUAAUCCGCGUAUAGUUCCGAUUAAGCUUUAUAAAUGGCUAAACAUUCCACUUAAGCUUCAAAGUAGCUUAUCCCUGGUCUAAGAAGGUAAAAUCACAGCUAAUUAUCUCAUUUUUAAUUGCUGAAAUCUCAGCCUAGCACAGCAAGAAGCAAAAACCCGAAAUUAUUACUCAAAUCGUCGAAUAGAACGUCGAUAACGGCGAAAGUGAGUCGCUUACCUUCUCAAGCUGCCAACCAGUGACCUGCUGGUCCAGGGCUGCGAAAACCCGUCCAAAAUACUCUCUCACACGUCCACGUAAGCUCUGCGACGCUCGCAAACAGCGAAGAACGCACGCGGCGACGAAAACAAGCGAAAUCGGCGAAUUCGACGUAGAGAGAGAAAAACCCUAGAGAGAGAGAGAGAAGAAGGGAAAAGAGGCCUUCUCAGAACUCUAGCACACUCCACUGAAGUCCCAGAGUCGUGCUGGGAUCAAAUAGGUAGGUAUCAAAUGUGAAAUUACCAAACUAGCCUUGCUGCCACGAAUCUGCCACCUUGUACCGGUACAAGGUGAUGUCUGUACCGGUACAGCAAGCAGAAAAAGCUGAUUUUCGCCAGUUCAACGCACUUUCUCACUUUAAGCAUUCCAAUCAUCCUCUAACUUAUCCGAAAACUUGUUCUAACCUUUUAGAACAUGUAGGAGUGAUCCACACACCAUUCCACAUACUCGAACUCCGCAAUUUGCAAAAGUUCAGUAUAUUACAUUUCACCCCUCCUAAAAAGAAGUUUCGUCCGCGAAACUUGGAAACACUUACCUCACGAUUCCAUCGAGAACAGGUAGGGAUAAUGCUCUUGCAUUGCACUCUCCAGUUCCCAAGUGGCUUCUCGUUCCUCGUGAUUACUCCAAAGGAUCUUCACGUAGGGUAUCUCGCGAUUUCGAAGCCGUUUUAUUUCCCGAGCUAGGAUUCUUACUGGAUGCUCCUCAAAGCUCAAAUCCUCUCGUAAAUCCACUGGAGUACUCUCCAAUAUGUGAGUUGGAUCAAAAACAUACUUUCGAAGUGUCGAUACAUAAAACACAUUAUGUACUCCCGAUAGAUUCGGCGGCAAAGCAAGCCGAUACGCUACGGGGCCUAUCCGCUCCAACACCUCGUAGGGUCCAAUGAACCGAGGACUCAACUUUCCUCGAAUACCAAAUCUUUUAACUCCUUUUGUCGGGGAAACCUUUAGGAAUACAUGAUCGCCAACUUGAAAUUCCAAUUCUCGCCGACGUUUAUCCGCAUAGCUCUUUUGUCGACUUUGUGCUGUCAGUAGACGUUCUCGUAAAAGUCGAACUUUAGCUUCAGCCUCUUGUAAUACGUCUGGACCCAAAACCAAUCUCUCACCCACUUCGCUCCAAUGAAGUGGUGAUCUGCACUUUCUACCAUAAAGGGCUUCAAACGGUGCCAUCUGAAUACUUGCGUGAUAACUGUUGUUAUAGGCAAAUUCAGCCAUCGGUAAAAACUGUGGCCAACUGCCCUGGUAAUCAAUCACACAGGCCCGCAACAUAUCCUCAAGGGUCUGGAUAGUACGCUCAGACUGCCCAUCACUCUGGGGGUGGAAAGCAGUACUAAAAUCUAAUCGGGUACCCAGGGCCUCUUGUAAGCUCCUCCAGAAAUGUGAAACGAAUCGGGUGUCUCGAUCUGAAACAAUAGAAGCAGGUACUCCGUGUAAUCGCACAAUUUCAUCAAGAUACACUUGUGCGAGUCUUUCCCCCGACCACACAGUAUGAAUUGGAAUAAAGUGGGCAGAUUUAGUCAAUCUAUCCACAAUUACCCAAAUUGCAUCAUGUCCUGCCUGCGAGCGAGGUAAUCCGACAAUGAAAUCCAUAGUGAUCCUCUCCCACUUCCACACUGGUAUGGGUAAGCUCUGAAGUUUUCCUGCAGGAAGUCGAUGUUCAGCUUUAACCUGUUGACAAGUUAAGCACUUAGCUACGAAGUCUGCGGCUUCCUUUUUCAUUCCAGGCCACCAGUAAGUUAACUUCAAAUCCUUAUACAUUUUUGUACUUCCAGGGUGUACAGUAUACAGUGCCCGAUGUGCUUCUGCUAGAAUCUCUUCUUUAAUACCAGGAUCUGCCAACAGCAGCUCAGCAGCCAGCAGCAGCAGCUCAGCUGGAGCAGCAGCCAACAGCAGUAGCAACUUGGCAACAGCAGCAGCAGCUUGGCAGCAGCAGCUUGGCAGCAGCAGCUGAGCAGCAGCAGCAGCUGAGCAGCAGCUGAGCAGCAGCAGCAGCUGAGCAGCAGCAGCAGCUGCCCCGCAGGGGCAGCAAGGGAAAGAAAGAAAGUAAGAAAGAAAAGAAAGAAAGUAAGAAAGAAUGAAAGAAAAGGAUAAGAAAAAAAAUGAAAGAGAGAAAAUGAGAAAGAGAGAGAGAUGGAAUGAAAUGAAAGAAAAGAUGAAAAACUGACCUCGAUAAUGCACUUUUGCAGAAUUGAAGUCCUAACGUGAAAUUGGCCGUGUACAAACCAAAUUGAGGGUAAAACAAACGCGUUGGCGAAGUAGGUUCGGCAAUCUGUCGAGCCUACGCGAAGAUAUCGCCAAAAGAACAUUUUCGGCUACAAUUGUCGGGAGCGCUGGUCGCGGUUCUCGGGAAAGUGCGAGAAGCAGAUUUCUCGCAUUCCAGUAUCAAGUAAAGGUGGGUUGUGCUUUACCGAAGUGAUUAGGUCACUUCCAUGCCAAAGUAAAAUAUGGUUUCAUUUGACGCAUAUAUGAAUAUGAUUGUCGACAUAUGAACAUUAAUGCUAAUUGCAUAUGAGUAGGCAUAUAUGAUUAAUAACAUAUGAAUGCAUUAUGGUUAAUGCUAGAUGAUGUAUAAUGGUAAUCAGAUGAUGAACAUGCUAGAGGCAUAUGAAUAUAUUGUAGAUCAUGCUAGAUACAUAUAAUUGUCGAUAUAUGAACGUGAAAGCUAGAUGCAUGGUUAUGCUAAAUUCAUAGGAGCAAACAUAUGAUAUAUGAAUGUUGAACCUGUAAAUGCCAAGGGCAUGUAAGUUGAAUAUGAAUUGUGAACAUAGAUGCUAAAGCCUACAUAAUUGUUGCCACAUAAAAGUGAAAGUUUGAUGCCUAUGUCUAAACAUAUAUGAAAGUGAAUGUACUAUAGUUCAAGCUAUAUGAAUGUCGAUAAUUCUAGUUGAUUAGAAACCUCGAUGGCGAUUAAGGUAAAUGAGAAUAUGGGAAUAUGUAAACUAUGAACCUCAUGUUAAAUCCCUAAGAAUUGGGUAUAAAUCGACAACUCUAGUUGAGUAGAAAUCUUGACGGCGACAAAGUAAAUGAAAAUGUGCAAAUUAUAAUCCUAGGCGUGGAUAACUACGAUAAUGAAUAGAUCGAGUGGCAUGAACCUAGUGUUAUUAAACAUAGGUUGGACAUGAAAUGAACCUAGUGUUAUUGAACAUAGGUCGGACAUUAACCUAGUGUCAUUGGACAUAGGUCAAGUAAGGAAACCUAGAGUUGAGAUCUAGGAGAAAGAAUAUAAAACCUAGUGUAAAUGAACCUAGGUUAUGAUGUAAAGAAACGCUCAGUAAAAGUAAACUAAGUUAUGAAUGGUAUAGACCUAGAAAGUGAAUGGUAUAGACCUAGAAAGGUCGUCGACAUAGGGUGAAAGAGUAAACCCUUAAGUUGUAAAAGUGGAUUCCGGAAUCCCUAGGAAUGUGUUGUUGGCAAAAAUAGAAUCAGAACUACGGGAUCGACGGUUCUCCUCUCCCGGUAGUGAUUCAACUGGAUCGACGGUUCUCCUCUCCCGGUAUGCCAGGAAACAAGUGAAUCAGAAUUACGGGAUCGACGGUUCUCCUCUCCCGGUAGUGAUUCAACGGGAUCGACGGUUCUCCUCUCCCGGUGUGAGCUCAACGGGUUUGACGGUUCUCCUCGCCCGUUAAGCUUGAGCGACUUAGGGUCACAGGGAUCGAUGGUUCUCCUCUCCCUGUGAUGGACCUAGUGUCACGUGGACUUAAGGCUGAGGUGCUCGUGAGUCGUCCUUCACCUCGAGCCUGACUUGAUGCGGAACUCCGCGGUUGAUUGACUCAAGACCAAGUCGAGUGGCUAGAUGGCUAAGGUAAAGUAACAUUAGGAAGGAAUCGCCAGUGAGCACAAUAAGAAUAGAGAAUAAAGAAUAAAGAAUAGCUAAUGAACGUGAAUAGCUAAUAAAGAAAAGAAUGCUAUUGAGUAAAGAAUGGUUGAUAAUAUAAAGUAGAAUCAAAAGAUUCGCUUAUGAUAGUAUAUUGUUGCAUGAUUUACAUAUUGCAUAUCGCGAGGCAUACAUGUUUUAAUUUCUGCAUAAAUUAUUAUGAUUAUCUGUUGGACUAACAUGUUACAGUGCCUCCUUUGGACCUGGUGGGUCGAGCUCUUCUCUUGGGUGGCCGUACCCACUGGGAACUAUUUUAUAUAGUUCUCACCCCCGUGCUGUUUUUGGGGGUACAGGUUCGCACGUGAGCGGCGCGGCGGCGCGAGGACAGGGUGUAGCUCCGUAGAUAGCGUCCUACCACCGAGACCAGAGAUAGCGGUACCCUGAAGCAGUCUAGCUCAGAGUUCAGAAUAAAAGAAACAAACUUGUAUCAAAUUUGUAUAAAUUGUAAUAACUUAAAGGCUUAUGUAAUUUUGUAAAUGUAAAAUUUUGAGAUGAAUGCUUGUAAUAGCAUAGUUAGCAUUUUAUGUUUUUGAUACUUAUGCAAUCUAUGUUGGGAUGCUGUUCCUGGUUGGGACCUCUUCUACUGCAUCGUAUGGAUUGUGACGCCUAGGACGUACAGGGAAAGCUCUGUCCGUUCGGCGGUCUGUCGGCGUGCCCGAAUCUGACCAAAUUGGCGGAGCUCGGGGCGUGACACAUUCACCCCUCGCGAAACUCAAAAGCAAACACAUACCUCAAAGCUCCAUCUGAAAAAGAUGGGGAUAGCGCUCCCGCAGCGCGCUCUCUAGCUCCCACGUGGCCUCUCGCUUCCCGUGGUUGCUCCAAAGCACCUUCACAUACGAAAUAUCUCGAUUCCGCAGUUUCUUCACUUCGCGAGCCAAGAUCUUCACGGGUUGCUCCUCAAAGCUCAAAUCGUCCCGUAACUCCAUAGGUGUAGCAUCCAACACAUGAGUCGGGUCGAAGAUAUACUUUCGAAGGACCGAAACGUGAAAGACGUUGUGCACGCCUGAUAGAUUCGGUGGUAGAGCAAGUCGAAAUGCUACCGGACCUACACGUUCCAAAAUCUCAUACGGUCUAAUGAAACGGGGGCUCAACUUACCCCGAAUCCCGAAUCUCCUGAUCCCUCUAGUCGGCGAGACCUUCAAGAACACAUGGUCUCCAACUUGGAACUCCAAGUCUCGCCGUCGUCGGUCGGCGUAGCUCCUUUGUCUACUCUGUGCCGUCAACAGUCGCUCCCGAGCAAUUUGAACCUUGUCCUUAGCUUCCUGGAGCACAUCAGGGCCUAAAGCCAAUCUCUCGCCUACUUCGCUCUAAUGAAGUGACGAUCUACACUUCCGUCCAUAAAGUGCUUCGAAGGGCGCCAUUUUGAUGCUUGCUUGAUGACUAUUGUUAUAAACAAACUUCGCCAUCGGUAGAUGCUGCGACCAUCCUCUCUGGAAGUCUAUCACACAUACUCGGAGCAUAUCCUCUAAAGUCUGAAUGGUGCGCUCCGACUGCCCAUCACUCUGGGGGUGAAAAGCAGUGCUGAAGUCCAAUCGGGUGCCCAAGGCGUCCUACAGACUCCUCCAAAAGUGAGACACAAACCGAGUGUCUCGAUCCUAUACUAUCGAUGUAGACACUCCAUGAAGUCGAACAAUCUCAUCAAGGUACACUUGUGCGAGCUUCUCCCCGAUCCAAGUAGUAUGAAUAGGUAUGAAGUGCUCCGACUUCGUCAACCUAUCCACGAUCACCCAUAUAGCAUCAUGCGCGGCCUGAGAGCGGGGCAAAUCAGUCACGAAAUCCAUGGUGAUCUUCUCCCACUUCCACACGGGAAUAGGCAAACUCUGAAGCUUUUCCGUGGGUAAUCGGUGCUCAGCUUUGACUUGUUGACAAGUUAGACAUCGAGCUACAAACUCGCCAACGUCCUUUUUCACCCCAGGCCACCAAUAAAGCAACUUUAAAUCCUUGUACAUCUUGGUGCCACCCGGAUAUAUAGCAUACGGUGCCCGGUGUGCUUCUUGAAAAAUAUCUUCUUUAAUUCCCGAAUCCGCCGGUACAAAAAUCCAUCCACGAAAAUGCAUCAAUCUUUGGUCAUCCACAAGGAAAUUGCCGGUGCAACCAUCAACCAUUUUGUCUCUAAUCUUUUGCAACUCCACAUCGGAAGCUUGCUUUUUUUUAAUUCAAUCCAAAAGUGUAGGUUGCACCACCAAGGUCAUCAAUCUUAAAGGCGUAUCUGGAAUCACCACUUCCAACUCCAACCGCUUCAUCUGCUCGAUCAACUGCAGUUGAGUAACAACAUGCAUCGCUAAGUUUUCCGUCGAUUUCCUACUUAGCGCACCUGCCACCACGUUAGCCUUCCCCGGGUGGUAUAGGAUAAUCAGAUCAUAAUCCUUGAGCAGCUCUAGCUAUCUGCGCUGCCUCAAGUUCAACUCCUUCUGAGUAAACAGGUAUUUCAAGCUCUUGUGAUCCGUGUAUACUUCACACCGCUCGCCAUACAAGUAGUGGCGCCAUAACUUCAAUGCGAUGACUAUGGCCGCCAACUCCAAAUCGUGCGUAGGGUAAUCCUUUUCAUAUUCCUUCAGUUGGCGAGAAGCAUACGCGAUCACCUUACCAUCUUGCAUCAACACAGCCCAAUCCGCUAAGUGAAGCAUCACUAUAAACCACAUACCCUGCUCCAGCAACUUGCAGGGUUAGGAUCGGGGCGGUCGUCAAUCGUUGCUUCAACUCUUGGAGGCUUCUCUCACACGCAUCAUUCUAGAUGAACUUGACACCUUUAUGCGUGAGCCUCGUGAGGGGAGUAGAUAACUUAGCGAACCCCUUGACAAAUCUCCGGUAAUAACCGGCCAGUCCAAGAAAACUCCGAAUCUCCAUGACACUCGUCGGUCUCGGCCAAUCCUUGAUAGCCUCAAUCUUCUUGGGAUCUACGGCUAUACCCGAUCCCGAUAUUAAAUGUCCAAGGAAGGCUACCUCUCGAAGCCAAAAUUCACACUUUUUCAACUUGGCAUAAAGCUCUUUUUUCCGAAGUAUUUGAAGUACAAGCCACAAAUGCUCCUCAUGAUCCGUAUCACUUCGGGAAUAAACCAAAAUGUCGUCGAUAAACACCACGACGAACCUGUCCAGGUAAGGCUUGAAAACAUGGUUCAUCAGAUCCAUAAAAGCUGCCGGGGCAUUAGUAAGCCCGAACGACAUAGCCGUGAACUCAUAGUGUCCAUACCGUGUUCUAAAAGCCGUCUUCGAUACAUACUCGGGUUUGAUCUUUAACUGGUGGUAUUCCGACUCCAAGUCGAUCUUGGAAUACACACAUGAUCCUUGAAGCUGAUCAAACAAGUCGUCGAUCCUCGGCAACGGAUACUUAUUCUUGAUCGUAACUUUAUUAAGUUCACAAUAGUCCACACAUAGACGAAGUGAUUCGUCCCUUUUCUUGACGAACAGAACUGGCGCUCCCCACGGCGAGACGCUCGGUCGAAUGAAGCCCUUGUCCAAUAGAUCCUGUAACUGUGCCCUCAGCUCCUUUAGCUCCGCCGGUGCCAUCCUAUAGGGUGUCUUCGAGAUUGGAAUAGUCCCAGGGACGAGAUCUACCAUAACUCGAUCUCCCUAUCGGGUGGCAUACCCGGUAGCUCAGCUGGAAACACGUCCUGGAACUCCCAUACCACCGGGAUAUCCUCAAUCCUAGGGGUAUCAUCCUCGCCCCUCAACACAACACUAGCCAAGUAGGCUACACAUCCUCGGCUGAUCAGCUGCCUAGCUCGAGACGAGCUGAUCGACAUCGUAAAAAGCAAACUCCGGCAUCUUCUAAACACAACCUCAGUCUGCCCCGGUUCUCUAAAAGUAAUCGUGCGAUUCUUACAGUCGAUGGUAGCAUAAUACUUGGUUAGCCAAUCCAUACCCAAGACCACAUCGAAAUCUCCAAGCUUGUGCAAAGCUAGCAAAUUUACGGGCAUGAUCCAAUCUCCUACCCGAACAGGACAACUAGGGCAAUACUCUCUAAUAUCCAGAGUGUGGUCGGGUACUACAACAUGUCCCGGAUGCAACAACGAAACAAAAGGGAUGCCAUGCAACUGGGCAAACAGCCGAUCUAUAAAUGAAUGCGAUGCACCGGUAUCAAAUAAAGCACAAACUCUAAUGCCAUCAAGUAAAAUGAUACCUGCAACCACAUCCUCGGCUGCUGCCGCCUCCUCGGUCUGAGCGGCAUACAAACGCUUACUCUGGGCCUGUCGAAAUCCCUAGCUCAGUCGCUAGGCGGGUGGCCGCCUAGGCUGGUAUUGUGUCGACGGAGUCUCGUGGCUGACGGCUGGUAGAGCCGGUGCCGAUGCAGUCGACGGUGCCGGUGAAGAACCUCUCGGGCACUCGGUCCGAACGUGGCCCUCCUGGCCACACUGGAAGCACCUGCCCGCCCGCUGCGGACACUACGGUGGUAAAUGAGGACCAUCGCAGAUCACACACGGGGAAGGCCGGCGACGGUCAGAACCUCCUCGCUGCGCUGCUGAGCCGCGUCCACGCUGCUGGCUCCUAGGAUGCUUCGGCGGCCUCCUAGAGUGCGUCUGGCUCGCACCCUCUGCCGCAGGCCUCUUGGCCUUACCUUUGUCCAUCGCCUCUCGCCGCUCCUGGACAUCCGCCGUGCCGCGCCUGGACAUCCGCCGCGCCGCUCUUCACUAUGAGCGCGCGAUUCACCACCUCCCGGUAGGUUUGGAGGUUAGAGGAUUGCACAAACCGGAAAAUCGACGGUCGCAACCCUCGCUCGAAAAUGCGGGCCUUGUCCUCGUCGUCCCGCACGACGAAAGGCACGCAGCGCAGAAGCCGAGAAAACUCCCGCUCGUACUCGGCUACAAUCCGGUCUCCUUGGCGUAAGUUGCGCAAGUCCUGCUCCACCUUCAUCUUGACGCUGGUCGGCAAGUAGCGCGCCAAUAGAAGCUCCUUGAACUUCUUCCACGAGAUAGCCGCCAAAUCAGUGCUGGGGUUCUCCUGGAGAUCCAACCACCAGCGGUAGGCCUCGCCGUCCAAAUGGUGUGUGGCGAGCCAAACUUGAUCUCUCUCCUCCACGAAGGUGUCGCGGAAGAGCUUCUCCAUAUGCAUCAACCACUUCUCCACGAUCCAGUGGUCGACCUUCUCGCCAUCGAAAAUCCGGGGACCGCACCUUCUGAAUUCGUUGAGGCGCUCCAUAAGUCGGUCCCGCUCUGCCCCCUCAACCAUAGUAGGGAACACUGCUCCAAUCGGGGGCCUCUGAACAGGUGGUGCCGCGAUAGCCUCCUCCUGAGGCGCGGCCGCGGGUGCUGCUCGCGAAGAACUGGGCGCGGGGGACGGCGCUCUCGGCCGGACGUCCACGACUGGUGCUGGUGGUGUAGGGGCCUGAGUCUCCCUGGAAGCUACCGCCUGCUGUAGUAGAAGAUCCUCCAGGCGCUUCAUCCGCGCCUCCUGUCGACGCGCCGCCUCUGUCUGUUGUCGGGCCUUCUCCGCCUGCUGUGUCACUAAGUCGGUGAGAGCCGCAAGCUGUCUCCUCAACUCUCGGACCUCGCCGGAUCCAGAGGUAGCGGAGGUCUCGACCUCCUCCAGGUUAGCCGCGUUAUCCGCUCCGGCAGAUUCGAAGUGUGUAAUCGGCAUCGUCUCUACAACAUCAUAGAAGCGUAAGUUAGUAAACUCAUGCUAUCGGAUCCCCACUCAAAAGGCAAUACCCAAAUCAUGCCAAAGUAAGGAAGUGUGCUUCACUACUAACUCCUGAUGUUACGUUGUCGGCCGCCAAUGUAACCCUCCGCGAAGUUAGGAGCUAUACAUUUCGAUUUAACUCCACUUUCUAGAGUUAUCCAAAAUACCCAAUCACGAUACUUUCGCUCACAAGUCAAAUAGACCUUGUCUCUCACGAGCCUAUUUCCUAUAGUCCAACCGGCUUAAGGUUUGCUAGGUCCACUAUGACUCAAUCCUAGGCUCUGAUACCAAACUAAUCUGUCACGCCCCGAGACCCAACGGAAGCCCGCCCGGCGCGUGUCCAGACCCGCCAUAUGUCUAAAACAUAUAAGGCGUCUAAAACAAGACGAUAAAUAAGGCAAGAAGAGAGAGAACAUCUAGCUAUAUCAGAGCAAAGUGUAUUCUAUGAGCUACAAAAGGGAAAGGAGCAUAAAGUGAAAUCCGCUAUGUAAAAACAUAACAUAAUACAAUAAGAAUCCCAAGAACGAAAGCUAAACAAGGUACACAGGUGGUCUCUAUUCAUAGUACAAAACUCUCUCUCUCACAAAAUCCAAAAAGAAGAGAGUGACCACCUAGAAGGGACAGCAAGCUCCACUAUCUUGUUAUGCGACUCCCUUGCCGCGAUCCUGUGCCUCCGCCGGUGACGAAGGCUUUGAAAUAAAACCAUAAAACAGAAGGCGUGAGAACUAUUGAAUAAUAGUUUUCAGUGGGCAAUUACUGGCUUCAGUGAAAUGCACUACUAGGCCGAAACUAAAAAGGGGUCAGUAAGCAGAUAUAAACAAGGGCGAUAUGUACGACAAGUAAAUAAGCAUGAAUAUUUGCUACCACAUGAUAUCUCUACUUAGCAUGAUUUAGCAUAAGUAAGAAAAGCUAUUCUCGUAUGAAUGUACCCAAGCAUCGCUAGUAUGAUGUCCAUAAGUCAAAUAGUAAAGAUAUCCUUGUUUACUAUUCUAGUCAAUAUCCACAUGGCAUGAUGAAUGCUCAAAGUCAAAUCUGAAGAGACCAGCCCGUAGGCUGUCUGGCCCUAAGACCCACCCGUAGGCUGUCUGGCCGGUGCCGAGCCUAAUGGCCCCGUGGUAGUCAACAUCCCCACUCUAGGAACAAGUCUAGCCCACGGCAAUCCACUUCGGCGCCCAAUCCGGCACGGCGAAUAUGUAUCGCGAUGGCCAUCUUCGGAGUGCCGGCUUGUAGAGAGUGACCCUCACAAGCAUGUGCGAAUGAGCACAAUGGCAAGUAACGCAAGAUCCGUCCAAAUAUCAAGUCCUCAUGUCUAAAACAUGGAAUAUAUAUAUCAAAUGUCCCAAAGGCCUAUCUCUAUGUCAUCAUGUCUCUAACUUGGAAUAUAGCAGAUGUUCAAUGGCCCAUCACUAUGUCUCUAUGUUGCAAUUUCACAGUUUAAUAUGUCAAGUGCCCCUUUAUGGCAUUUUGGUCUACUAAGUCCAAAUAUGAGUUUAUUGUUUGCAAAUGCAUAAUUUGAGCAAUUUCUAACAUAAAAGACAUGUUUCCAAAUCACUAACACGAACACUUCUCACAUGCAUGAAUUUUACCCAUAAUGCUCUACUAUAUAGAGUGAAACUUUCAUGAUAUAUAAGGCAUGCAUUUUAAGUGUUCUAAAAUUUACAUAAAUACUAUCUAGCAUGGAUUUGCAUUCAAAAAGACAUUACGACAAGUAUAGCAAGCGUAGGGGCUAUUUUGCCCCGUUCUCAUGAAGCCAAACCCACCACAACUCUUGCGCUCCUUCGUUUGCUCCGACGAAGGUGUCCACUAGCCUCCUAGCACCUUAAAGAUGUAGGAACAAGAGUUAAACGAAUCUUACGAACAAUCAUAAGGUUGAUCAUUAACCAUCUCAAGCUAAGGUGGAGAAACUCACCUCAAGUGAAGAAAUCCUCUCUCAAGCUCCAAAUGGGAGUUAGAGUUCUUCAAAUCCAACAUAAAUAAAGGUUCUAAACCCAUCAAUUAGGUUUCAAAGCUCUCAAAUCGAAAAUUCCAGAAAUAAACCCUAAAUCCCAAAAUCUAGGGCUUCUACCAACAAAAGCACCAAAGCUAGAAUCUAGAGGAAGGAAAUCAUCAACCUCUAGGAUGCUCCAAACCAAGCUCAAAAUCCUCUAGGGUUGAAGAUUGAUCCACUACCAAGCUCCAACCACAAGCUCUAAGCCUCCAAAGGUGAGAAAUGAGGAAGGAAGAUGCUCCAAGGCCUCCAAGCUUGCUCUCCUUCAACUCCUCCUUCUUCUUCUCCUUCUUCUUCUUUUUCUAGAGAGUGUAGAGAGAGAGAGUGAGGGAGAGAAAUGAGGGAAAGAGAUAAGGGAAAUGGCCUAAAAGCCCUCUAUUGCAACAUUAUCCACCUAGGCCCUCCAACAAAGCAACCUGUGCACUGCCCAGGUCCGGGCAGUUUUCGGAUUGAGGGACCGGUCUUCCCGACCUGGGACCGGUCUCUCAGCCUGCCCCGAAAAUCCAACGUUCGGGAACCGGUCUCUCCCCGCAUGGGACCGGUCUCUCCCCGCGUGGUCGCGCUCGGGGACCGGUCUCAUCCGCCAGGGACCGUUUGCCUUGCAGACUGUCGCAACACUGUUCCGAGGGGACUG
RNAcentral lists this long non-coding RNA (16066 nucleotides) under Ananas comosus (pineapple). RNAcentral describes it as "long non-coding RNA (ACOM_LNC036965)". The record is from RNAcentral. Lineage: Eukaryota; Viridiplantae; Streptophyta; Magnoliopsida; Poales; Bromeliaceae.